GACGAACGCUGGCGGCGCGCCUAACACAUGCAAGUCGAACGGAGCUGAGAGAAGCUUGCUUUUCUUAGCUUAGUGGCGAACGGGUGAGUAACGCGUGAGUAACCUGCCCUGGAGUGGGGGACAACAGUUGGAAACGACUGCUAAUACCGCAUAAGCCCACGAUCCGGCAUCGGAUUGAGGGAAAAGGAUUUAUUCGCUUCAGGAUGGACUCGCGUCCAAUUAGCUAGUUGGUGAGGUAACGGCCCACCAAGGCGACGAUUGGUAGCCGGACUGAGAGGUUGAACGGCCACAUUGGGACUGAGACACGGCCCAGACUCCUACGGGAGGCAGCAGUGGGGGAUAUUGCACAAUGGGGGAAACCCUGAUGCAGCGACGCCGCGUGGAGGAAGAAGGUUUCCGGAUUGUAAACUCCUGUCGUUAGGGACGAUAAUGACGGUACCUAACAAGAAAGCACCGGCUAACUACGUG
Molecule: ribosomal RNA, 468 nt
Filed under: uncultured bacterium
Lineage: Bacteria
Description: partial 16S ribosomal RNA
Rfam family: Bacterial small subunit ribosomal RNA
Source: RNAcentral